This is a long non-coding RNA of Rhododendron vialii, 8863 nucleotides long. RefSeq lists it as uncharacterized. The transcript is spliced from 3 exons. The record is from RefSeq and is a predicted model, not a curated record. NCBI's taxonomy places the organism in Eukaryota, Viridiplantae, Streptophyta, Magnoliopsida, Ericales, Ericaceae.
CGUAUUAAUUGCUUAUACGAUUUUUUUGCACUUCCUUAAUUGUUUGGAUGAUAUGGUCAAUGAAAUGGUUGUAAUAUAGGAGAAAAAAAAUGAAGUUGGAGUUAGUAGAACAAUGUUGUAUGAGCCAACUCACACAAAGAAAGAUAGAAAGACCCCUGUGAGUGAUAAGGCAGCUGAAAAUAUGAGAAAAAUGAAGGAUUUGAUGGCGUCGCAACAAAGUACCCCUAAAGAGAACACGAAGGGGAAAAUAAACUGGUCAAAGAAUGACAUGUACUCUCAAGUGAUAGACGAGAACAAGCAUAGUGGUCGUUUUCGAGGUUUGAGAUUUGGGUACACUUCUAAAACUUGUGGCUCAACUUCCAAUAGUGAUGCAAGGUUGAGAGUGGCUUCAAACGAAGAAAGAAUGAGAGAGAAAGAUAAUUAUAUAGUGGUGUUAGAAGAUAAGUUGCUGCUUUUCUGACCCCUAUGAGCUGUAAUGGAUCUUUGCAUAAAUGUUCAAUUCAGGUUCUGCUGGUAUGCUAUUAAAGGAUGCAGAUUCUGUGGGGCUGCUGUAUUUGGCUCCAAAGCUUAAUUCUCCGUGCUGCUCCCAUUGAGCAUUUGAAAUGUUUUACUACUGCUAUUGCUGCUGUUGUAGUGUAUCUCGCUGCUAUUGGAAGCUGGCAGCUUGUUGUUCCCGUUAUUGUUGCUGCUCCUUGAGGCUUGUUUUGCUGUUUUUUUUGGGUUGUUAAUUUAUAACAGGUCUCAAUUGAUGGAUUGGUACUGCUGCUGUCCUUGACUUCGUUUUCUACUGCUGUUGGUACUCAGAAGUUGCCCAGGACAGCAAUAGUAUGUAGUCCUAUUUAUAGUUCAGUUGUUUUGUUGUGAUGUAGACCUUUUUUCAUUUAGUAUUGGCCUAUCCUUGGGGGGUUGUCCCUUGGAAUGUUUAGGCUUUUCUAGGGGGCUGUCCCUAGCUGUCCUUUGUGGCAGACUGUCAUUUGUUUUGUUCCUUCGGCUACUAUUUUAUGGUGUUAUGCAUGCUGCUGCUGUUUGGUGAUCAACAGUCAAGAAGCUGUUGUUUUGCUGCUGUUCUAUACGCUGCUAAUGGUUAGGGUGGUUGGGCAACUCCUUGAGGUUCAAGAUAUUGCUAGUGGAUUCUUAAAUCAAGUUUCUCCUCGAGCAAAUCAAGGGUCAUAUUUUGCAAGUCAUGAAAUAGAAGCUUCUUUAGGUAACAACCUCCUCCUCCUCCUCCUCCUCCUCCUCCUCUCUCUCUCUCUCUCUCUCUCUCUCUCUCUCUCUCUCUCUCUCAGUAUAUAUGGAUUGCAUAGAGAUUUUAGCUGUUAUAGGAAGAAUUGCAUAGAGAUUUCAUGUACUUGAACGUUUAAUUAUUUACGAUCAAAAAUGAUAUGUUUGGAGAUGAUGUUAGGAUAUUUGCUCAUAAGACAGCUUAGAUGAACUGAAACAUAUAUAUCGAUAGCUUCAUCUCAUAGCCCUCCAAGAUGUAGGAGUUGACAGAGAUACGGUAGUAAGCAAAGAGAGUAGUAGAAACAGUCCCCAAACAAAAAACAUAACUUUGUUGAGAAGAUAGGACACCACACACAACAGUCAACAACCACAACCCUUAGCCCUCCAAAAAAAUUUGAGUUGAAAAGUGAAAAAACAAAAAAUGAAGCUCUUACCUAGCUUGUAGUUCAACCCAUGUAAGAGGGACUGACCAACACAACAUAGCACAAAACACUGCUAAUGAUAUAUGAAAUGAUAUGUCAUUCUAAAGAAAAAAUCGAAUAUAUUAUUUAUCUCUUGUCAAUAACUUAGGACUUGCUUUUCUUUAAUUGUUUUUUCUAGUAGUGAGACUGUCAAGAAGUUAAUUCCAGUGAUUUGUAGUUGUGGUGUAUGAGAAAAGUGAUGGCUAGGUUGGUAGAGAAUCUCCAGAUAUAGUGCGGACAUGUAGAUGUGUGCUUUGUUUAUGCUUGUCUUCUCAAGGCGUAGUUGGUGUUAUGUGACACUGAUGGCUAGAAGGAAAUAAAUGCCUUCAUUUUUGCUGAAAAAUGCCUUCAUUUUUCAUUUUCCAAAUGGACCACAUUGACUGCAAGUGAGAUAGCAUCCUUAAUCAACUUUUCCUAUUUUUGAGCUGAUUAGUGCAUUCAGCCCUCUUUGCAUCCAGAACUUCCAUCUCAUACAGUUUGCUUACUACCUCAUCUUCAUUUCCAUCAACAUCCUAGACCCAUUAACUUGUUACAAUCCAGACUUUUUGUAUAAUCUUGCCUGAAAUUGACUGUGCAGUCUGCUCUCAUCUAUUUCUCUUUGGUUGCACGUACCAUUUCUUCCGUUUUAUGCUCAUAGUUGGAUCUAACUCCUAUGAUAUUUCAAGUUUCCUUGUUUGGCAUGUUUGUUUACUUAUGAUUCUUAUGGGAGACUUUAGUGUACAUUCACUUGAAGUCUGCAAUUUGUUGAAGGUUAAAGAUUAUAUUUAAUUUGUUCUAUUGCCAUUUUUAUUACAAGUAAUUGGACUAUCUAGACACAUUUUUGUGUUGUAUAUAUAUUUUCAUGGAGGUUUUGUAAAGAUGACAGCCUAUGAUAUUUUUGUGAUUUUUGUUGGACAAGUUUAGGCGAUGAUUUUUGUGGAUUAUUUUGUUAUGUGUUAUGGGAGAUUUGCUAAAGUACAAACAAUGUUGAUGGAUUUUUUUUGAACAAGUUUUAUUUUUGGGUAAAUCAGCUUGAAAUAAAAAAGAGGCUAACCAAAUAUACAGCCUACAAGGACAUACCUUAGGAGGAAAACAAAACAAAACAAAGAUUGAGAAAAUUGGAGACCUAAGCCAAGUGGCUACAUGAAGGACAAUAAUAAUGAGAUGAAGACAAAACAAAUAACAUCCCGAGAUACAUUUGUUUGCAAGCCAUCUACAAUGAGAUAGAACAUCAAUCCAAAACUGAAAUGAGAUUUGGAUCACCAAUGGGAGCAGCCCAAAGAUUUAACAGCAUCCAUUGGACUAAGUGAGGUAAAUGAGGAUGGAGGAACCACCGACUCCUGGAACAUCAACAAAACAACAGUAGUAGAGUAAUAAAAUAGCAGCAGCAAACAACAAGGCAAAAUAGCCACUGGACAAUAGCAAGGGCUGAGUUGAACAGCAGCUGGACAGUAGCUAGACAGUAGCGGCUUACACAAUUGGGAAUCGAAGCGAAAUAGCAGCAGCUUAUAUGGACUGGCAUCCACAACAGUAGGAACAAAAUAGUAGCCGAAAGGACCAGCAGAAUAGCAGCAGUAGCUUGUUGCUUUAUCACAGGUAGCAUGGUUUGCCAGAAGCAGCAACAGCAAAAGGUACUAAACAAGUAGCCAAGGAUUGGCAUCUACACAGCUAGGGACAAGCCCCCUAGCAAAAGCAUAAACUCUCUAAUGGACAACCCCCCAAGGAUAGGUAAAUAGCAGCAAAAGCAAUAGUUUGAUUUUAAUGGAAAGAAUCUUGCCUUCAAAUUUAGUGUUAUGUUAGCUUGGAGCGGGGUCGCAUACAACUUUGACGAGUAUGUGUACAUAGAAAUUUGACGAGUAUGUGUACAUAUAUAUAUAUAUAUAUGUGUGUGUGUGUGUGUGUGUGUGUGUGUGUGUGUAUAUAUAUAUAUAUAUAUGUGUGUGUGUGUGUGUGUGUGUGUGUGUGUGUAUAUACGUGUGUGUGUAUAUAUGUGUGUGUGUGUGUAUAUAUAUUAGCGACAAUGGAAGUGUUACUAAAAAAAUGGGCUAUGGCGACGGUUAUGCCAACAUAUAGUGACGUUUCAUUAGGCAAUCAAAAAUUACCCUCUCCCAAUGGUUAUAGGUGUCGCUAAACCAACCGUCACUAAAAAAAAAAAGUACCAACGCUCGACGAAACCGUUGCUAUACCUCUACAGUGACAGAUAUAUUGCAACGGUUUGGCUGACGGUUCUCCAACCGUUGGUAUAGCCUAAACGAUUAUACCUAAACGGGGUCUAUAUCGACGGUUUUUGGGUUCUUUGGCUACGCUUUCGACCGUUGCUAUAGAACGAUUUUCUUGUAGUGGCCUAACUAGUUAGAGAACCAAAAGGAAGUACUAAGAACACUCUUGAUGAGGAUUUUGGAGCCUUGAAAACGGAGGUCACCACUUUGAGCAUGCUUCCCCAAGUGGUGGAGGGUUUGUGAUGGUGUGAUCUCACAGCUCCAUAUGUGUUACCAAGAACAGAUGCCCACAAAGGCUUUUUGGGGUUGGUGUAUCUCUAAUUGAGGUUGGCCAUCGCGACUUGAUUGACGUGAAAGUUACGCCAGGUGCCAAGUUCCCCUAGAUUCUUCGGUUUGGUCACUUUGUCCCAAUUGACAGCAUAAGGUUUUCUAUGUCCCUGGUCGAGCUCUAAAGAAAGUCACGGUUAUUUUUGUCAAGGAGUUUGGUGACACUUGGGGGAAGGAAGUUGCAGUGCAUAACGUGACUAGGAAUUGAGGCAUUGACACAAGGGUGGUACCGGACACAAAGGAACGGUCUUUACCUUUAGAACCCGCGAGUUUGUUAUGCAUUGUAUCAAUGACAAGUUGGUAAGAAUGCAAGUUGGGUCUGCCGUGGUGAGUUGGACAACCCACGUAGGUCCCAAGAGAUAAUAUUUUGGGAAUAUUGAUGUGGUGGGCCGAACCGAAAUUGGGCCUACGGUUGGCCUACGAAAGGGAAGUGGGCGGAGCCAGAGUUUAGGCUCUCCUGGUUGGCCCUGCACAAGUAGCCUGGGCUGAGACCUAGCAUGGCAAAUAGCACAGCCAAGCGGAUGUGGGCCAGAUCGAAGGGUCCGACUCACUGGUUUACAGUCUGAUUUGCUGGUCCAACGUUCGAGUCUUUGGGUUAGGUCUAUUGGCCGGGUUGGUCGGUCGACUCGGUUUGACCCAUGUAGAGGCCACGUGGAGGUUCCUCUUGUUGUUUCCGGAGAAGCCUGGAAUGUCUAAGAAAGAAGGCAGUUACCUGUGACGUCACGGGCAUGUGUCGUGCGUCACGGUUGUUCCUUGCUUGGAGAGCAAGUACAAUGGCCUAUAUAAGUGGAGGGAUAAACCCUAAAGAAGGUACGCACCCCUGCAUCACUCUAAAGUACUCUCUCUCUCUCUCUCUCUCUCUCUCUCUCUCUCUCUCUCUCUCUCCUGUAUUCUAACUUGCUCGUCAAAGGGGCGAGAGGUGACCAACCACCUCACGCCUUGGUGCAGGUUCGCAACGGAGCAGAGGAGGGGUGAUCCGGAGAAGGUUUGAAGAGAAUCCAACACCCACAAUUGGUGCCGUUGUCGGGGAAUAAUUUCCCUAUACAUUGGUUUCUUGCAAAUUUCGGUGUUUCUUCUUUCAAAACGGUGGAAAUCCACGACGGCAAGAGGCCAUCUGAAGCCAUGGGCGGUGGUGGCAUCAAAGGACUCGAUGGUGCCACCCUCUAGGCCCAAAUCUAGGCGUCUAGUAGAACGUGACUAUAGUUCUGGGGCUACUCUCUCGGAUGAGAUUCCAGUGGUCUUGAGAAGUGACCCUUAAGUCCGAGAAUAUCUUCUCCAACUUAACAACUGAAUGUCCAAGAAGGACCGGAUGAUCAACGCUUUGCGGAAGGAUGUUCAAAUGGCGGCCAUGGUAAUCUGUCUCCAUUCUCCAUCGCCGAGUCGGGACCGUUAUCGGUCGCCUUCUCUGCGACAGGCUGAGGGGAGGAAUGGUCAGGUGAAGGAUCGCCUUGGCAAGCGGGUGGCCCCGUAUGAUGAGAAGAUCCCGAAUAUCUCUCCGGACCGAUCCCAGCCGCGAGGAGACUUCUGAGAUCGCCUUGCCCGGCCUAAUGAAAAUUGCCAACACGAGGUCCCGGAGGAGAGCUCUAGCUCGUUCUACAACUUGGCCUAUACAUCAAGUCACAAAACUGCUGUCGACCGGCAGCGCGAAUGAUGGGAUCGCGUACAAGAGGAGUGCGCGUGGCGUCAUGACCAAGAUCGAUAUUACAGUCACGAGCGAUCUCCUUCCCGUGGUCAUCGAAAACAUUGCCACCAGGAGGACGUUUAUGAGAGGCGCCCCGCUUGGGCUGCAAUCCUCUGGUAGUGGUUCCUACAAAGGUUCCCCCGACUAUAUUGGAAAUGGUGUUAGAGCAGCUGGUUUUGUACCUGUUCAUCGACGCGAUCAAAAACGCUUGUUCGCCAAAAAAAUUUACGGCACCAAAGUUUAAUCAAUACGACCCGAAGACAGAGGACGCGGUUGGCCAUCUGAUUCAUUAUCAACAGAUGAUGUCUCUCCACCAUGUCGACAACCCGUUAAUGUGCAAGACGUUUUUUUUUUUUUUUGGUAAAAUAGUUUGAAAUUGAAAAAGAGGCUAACCAAAUAUACAGCCUACAAGGGGCAUACCCAGGAGGAAAAAGAAAAAAGAAAACAAAACAAGAGUAAAUAAAAUUGUCUACGCCAAAUGGCUACAUGGGCUAAAUGAUAUGCGAUGUUUCCAAUCCAUCUAAUAAGAGGGAAGGAAAACAAUGCCAUAGUGACUAUAACAAAAUAGGAUAGAGUGAACUUGGAAGACCAAAAGGUCCAAGGUACAAUCCCCCAUGGAUUUCUGGAUCUGCACCUCACGAAACAAGGUCUAAACCCAGAUAGCUGUGAGAAACCACGGCUUAAACUCUCUUUGACAGUAGCCUUGUAUUCUGCUAUAUAACGCAACCUGCUAGGCAGCAAUCUGCUGGACUGCACACAAGCUGCAACAGUGAAACAGUAGCAACAAAAGAACAACCACAACACUUGGAGCUAUCUGGGUUUAGAAACUGAAUAGAACAACAGCACACAAAACAAUCUGCUGUAGUUGGGCUGACAAAACAGUAGUAGUCCUUGGUACCUCAAAGAUUAAGCCAAAUCUUUUGUAUCCAACAGUCCUUAGUUCUAUAUGACCAUCUCCAGUUAUGGGUAUCUGUAAACUCAUCCACAUGAUGAACCUAACAAAUUAGGCUCCUAAAGAUCAGCUCACGCCAGGUGCAUCUACAAGCCGAAGAGUAAAGUAGGGAAUGAAGAGUAAUCCAGGGGCAAGCUCCCUAGUAAGGCUUAAACAUCUCAAGGGACAACCCCCUUAGGUAACUGCUCCACUCAACCAAUGCAUUACCACUCAUCCAAUAAGAACAGACACAGUCACUCAUGCCACACAAAGAAACAAACGGGACUUAGAGCAACAAGAUCUCUUGGGUUGUGAAGAUGCAGUGCAACAAGUUGCUCAGCAGUGAGCCCUUAAGGCUUGAGUGCCCAGUAACUAAACUAGGCCAGAGGUGAUGUCGAAGCCCAUUUAGCCCAAAUGAUCUUGAAAUGAAUUGGGCUGACGCACAGAAACUUGAGUUCGGCCCAAAUAAGCAUUUUAUAUUUUUCAGCCUAAUACAUGUGUUGUUUUUGUUUUUCUAGGUGCAUGCUUGCUAGCAUUGGUUUCGAUCCCCACGUGCUGCAUAUAGGAGUCCCCCAUGUGCUGCAUCAGGAUGCCCAUAAUAUUUUCCCAAAAAAGGAUAAAGAAGCUUUCACACUUUUUUGGUAAUGAACAUUAAUAAAACCCAACUUUUAAUUCCUUAAGACAUAUGAGCCAGCCACAUGCUCUUUAAUUUUCCAUGCAAAGCCCACUAAGGACCACACAUCAAUAUAUUAGUAAUUGAAAAUCCCAACAGCACCGUAAAAUGAUAAAUGAUAUAGCUGACUAUGGCCCCGUUCCGGAACUAAAAAUAAGUAUUUAUUUUAUAAAAAAGCAAUUUCAAGCUAAGAAAUAAUGUAUUUACGCAAAUAAUUUUCUUAGCAAUAUGGAUCUUGUUUGAUAAAUUUCAUCGAGAUCUUUUAUACGGUGCAAAAAUAAUAAUAAAAAUAAUUUUUUAUUUAAAUUACUUUUAAGUUUGAAAAUGUAAAAUAAAUACUUAUUUUUUAAGAAGGUGUUCUGAAACGGAACCUAAGCUCAUACACACUUAUCCCAAUGCCAUAUUCUCCCAUGGGUCAUAAACCACUGGUUUGGCAGCCAUGGUUUUCAAAAACCGGCUUUGAGAUGCCCAGGCUCACACAAUACGUGAGCUACUCUCUGUUCUUCCCCAAACGAGAGAUGGAACCAAAACCAACCACCAGUUUGAGUAGUCCAUGGUAUACAUAGUCGGUUUUGAGAUGCCUAGUCUCAACAAGAGUGUGAUAUCCAGUGCAAAUCCGACGGAUUGAAGAACUCAAAACCCAUAGAACACACCAGUAAAUCUUCCCUUUGUCGUGCCUAGUCAAGGCUGGAAUAGUAGCGGACGCCACCAUUUCCGGCGAGCUAGGAUAUAUCAGCGCCGACGUGGUCCUCCGCCGUGUAAAUUGCCCACAACCAGGUAAGCUCUGGAGCAACCUGCUAAUCCCUCUACUGGCCGAGCACAAUUCCGGCGAACAGAUCGAACACGUAGAACUCUUGAGCUCCGUCCAGAAAACCCCUAAAUAGGGCUGAUUAAAACCUAAACCCCAAAACAGAGGGGUCCAAACACUGCAGAUCAAUAGGAAUGGAAACCCACCUAGCAAUUUCCCCUUUGCUUGUUGCCAUCCGACCCUUCGGCAAGAUGUGGUGGCUAAUAUGAGACCCUUGAUUUGCUGAUAUUCUCUCUGUAAAUUCGUGGAUCUGCUCCUAGCGGAGAAAGUAUGGUGUAUUGUUCAAAUGAUGAACAAAUAGCAAGUAGUGAUCUGAUUAGAGCUUGAAAAUUACCUCUAAAUCAGAUUGAACGAUAGAGAUUUGCUGGGGGAGUGCAUUCUCUCUCUAGGGUGUAGAGAGAGAAGCUCUCGACCCUCUUGACAAAGUACAAUUUUGCAUUGAGAAUCCUGCAAUUUGUUCCCUUAGGAAAGGAUAUCCCAUAUAUAUGCGAAGUAUUACAGUACAUGAAUAAACUAAGGGCUUAAGUCAUCGAGCAAAAACUCAGGUGAGAGUCGGCUCCUGC